This 253-nucleotide ribosomal RNA is filed under the name uncultured bacterium. RNAcentral's name for it is "partial 16S ribosomal RNA". It matches the Rfam family "Bacterial small subunit ribosomal RNA", at positions 524 to 776 of the family's 1533-position model. The record is from RNAcentral.
UACGUAGGGUGCGAGCGUUAAUCGGAAUUACUGGGCGUAAAGCGUGCGCAGGCGGUUUUGUAAGCCCGAUGUGAAAUCCCCGGGCUUAACCUGGGAAUGGCAUUUGGGACUGCAAGGCUUGAGUUUGGCAGAGGAGACUGGAAUUCCUGGUGUAGCAGUGAAAUGCGUAGAUAUCAGGAGGAACACCGAUGGCGAAGGCAGGUCUCUGGGCCACUACUGACGCUGAGAAGCGAAAGCAUGGGGAGCGAACAGG